Molecule: long non-coding RNA, 2153 nt
Filed under: Nicotiana tabacum (common tobacco)
Lineage: Eukaryota; Viridiplantae; Streptophyta; Magnoliopsida; Solanales; Solanaceae
Description: long non-coding RNA (NTAB_LNC016215)
Source: RNAcentral
GAAUACUUUCCAGCUAUAGUUCAUUUCAGAUGUUCACAAGACAAACUACAGUUUUCAAGGGCAGAAAGAAAAAUAAAAUACUCAUUUUCCAGCAGCAUAAUGCAUAAAUCUUCCAUGUAUUCCUCCUCAUUUACUUAUGUUUCAUCCCUAAACCUUCUAUAUGAUGUUAGUCUUGUAGUAAUUUUUAGCCCUCAUUACUAAGAUCAAAAUAAUGUGUGCCUCAAACAUAUUACUCUAUUAUCCACGCAAGUAGGAUAAAAGAAAGCAUGUAUCAUUGCUUCCCAAUACGGCAAUACAAGCCAAUUUUUCUUUGACCAUUGAUCUUGUAAUCCCAUUCGUACAUUAAACGUGCCUUUCAACUUCCAUUUAAAAUAUGACUUUUGUGGUCAUUCAUCAAACUCCUCCAAAUUAAAUUUACAUUCUCUGCAUUCUGCUUGGUAAACCUCAGUCACACUUUCAUCAAAAACUUUCAGGUAUACUAUAAUUUUUGGAGCUAUGUACCCUCGAAAAAAGUCUUCAAACAAAUAUAUUCUUCUUUAGCAUCAAAAGGAAGCUAAAACUUCUAAUUAAAUGAUUACAAGAACACUCACUCUGCAACCUCAUGACAAAGAAUGCAUGGGAAGAGACCCUCAAAACCAUUUCAGAUUUGUUUUAUCCUCCUCAUUCAUCUCGUGUAUAUGCUCCUAAUAUGUUCAGAGCUACAUUGUACAGGUUUAGAAUUAGGAAUGAAUACUUAUAUCCAUAAAGUCACAAAAUAUUUAUCAAGAAAGAAAACGAAGAUAAAUAUUUAAUUAUGGACUACUUUUGAUAGAAGAAUGGUAUCGGAUAAUAAACAAUGCAGCUGAUAGCAGAGUAGUUGUUUUCUCUAGCCACCUGCAUAAUGGUAUAUAAAAUCAGACAGUAUACUCCAUUUAUUUAAUUGCGCCAUCUGAUAGAUCUUUUUGAACAAAAAAUUGCAAACCAAGUACAUGUAAUAAUCAUGGCCCGAGGACAUCAUGACAUUAUCAAGCCAUAUUUUUCAGAAUAAACUCCAUAUUAGUCCCACAUAUUUAGAAAAAAAUUCUAUAUCUUAUGUUAUAAGCUGGAUAGUGGUAAUCCGAAUUUUCUUUGGAAUAUUGCAGAAUAGGCAAUUGAGCAGUAUGAAGAAUGAAGUUCUACAAGGAAAAGCAAGACUCAUGAAAAAAAUUAUAAAGGAAAAUCAAAGAUGGAAACUCCAGUUGAAAUGAACUUCAGUGCAAAUUCUUUAUUUAGGAAGGUAUAGACCAGGAUUAUACAACAUGAUUAUGAAAUAGGCUGCAUGAAUUUAUUGAAAAAUUAAAGUCAAACGUUAAGUUGUUUGCUUCAUAUGCCAACAAACGAAAAGAUUCUUUGAAUGUCCAUAGGAAAACAAAAAAAAGGCUAAAGAAGUAUCGAAGAUUGACUCAUUAUAUUUAGGCUUAGCAUUAUAUGGCAUCACAAUCUGAUGCCUUCGAAUAGAAGAAGCUGAGAACGAUCCAGUGAAAGAAAGCAUCCAAUAGAGACACCGCAAAGAAAAUUAUAAGUUGGAAAAUGCGAGCCAAAACUCUCCUUAUCUGUUAGCCAGAAAGAAUAAAAACUAAUGGAGCCAUAUGCAGAACUCCAAUAGUAUGAAAAGUAAUUACUACAUAGAAGUAGAUCUCGAUACAAGAAGUCUACUAAAAAGGAAAGAGUGAAGAAGGAAGACAUUGCCAACUAAUGAUGAUACUGCAAAAGGUCCCAUUAAUUCAAUCACUGUUCUAGAUUGACCAUACUGCAAGGUUUAUAAUAUAUAGACCUCACAAAAUAUGUUUCAAGGAAAGCUAAAUCGGGACUACAGAAGAGUUUGAAUAAUAAAUUAGCAGUGAUAAUUAUUAUGCUCCUAUCAAAUUAUUUAACUCUUCCACAGACAAUUCUAAUUAGCAAAAAAUCAAUCUUUAAUCGGGCAAACAUGUAUAUUUUUGGUUAUGAGAAAUCCAACUUAAGCCAAUACACAAAUUGACAAAACGUAAUAACUGGUGAAAAGCGUGUCGUUUGCGCAGUGUAUAUACGAUGAAAUGCAUAUAAAUAGAAAAAGAGUGUACCUUCUCGAAAUCUAUUGAAGGAGCCAUGGUGAAAUCGAAUUGUGCUUUUUUGCUGUUGCUGGUCCUUUUCAUGUU